UACGUAGGGCGCAAGCGUUGUCCGGAAUUAUUGGGCGUAAAGAGCUCGUAGGCGGUUUGUCGCGUCUGCUGUGAAAACCCGAGGCUCAACCUCGGGCCUGCAGUGGGUACGGGCAGACUAGAGUGCGGUAGGGGAGAUUGGAAUUCCUGGUGUAGCGGUGGAAUGCGCAGAUAUCAGGAGGAACACCGAUGGCGAAGGCAGGUCUCUGGGCCAUUACUGACACUGAGAAGCGAAAGCAUGGGGAGCGAACAGG
Molecule: ribosomal RNA, 253 nt
Filed under: uncultured bacterium
Lineage: Bacteria
Description: partial 16S ribosomal RNA
Rfam family: Bacterial small subunit ribosomal RNA
Source: RNAcentral